AUUGAACGCUGGCGGCGCGCCUUACACAUGCAAGUCGAACGGUAACAGGUCUUCGGAUGCUGACGAGUGGCGAACGGGUGAGUAAUACAUCGGAACGUGCCUAGUAGUGGGGGAUAACUACUCGAAAGAGUGGCUAAUACCGCAUGAGAUCUACGGAUGAAAGCAGGGGAUCGCAAGACCUUGUGCUACUAGAGCGGCCGAUGGCAGAUUAGGUAGUUGGUGGGAUAAAAGCUUACCAAGCCGACGAUCUGUAGCUGGUCUGAGAGGACGAUCAGCCACACUGGGACUGAGACACGGCCCAGACUCCUACGGGAGGCAGCAGUGGGGAAUUUUGGACAAUGGGCGUAAGCCUGAUCCAGCAAUGCCGCGUGCAGGAUGAAGGCCUUCGGGUUGUAAACUGCUUUUGUACGGAACGAAAAGCCCUGGGUUAAUACCCUGGGGUCAUGACGGUACCGUAAGAAUAAGCACCGGCUAACUACGUGCCAGCCGCCGCGGUAA
Molecule: ribosomal RNA, 498 nt
Filed under: uncultured bacterium
Lineage: Bacteria
Description: partial 16S ribosomal RNA
Rfam family: Bacterial small subunit ribosomal RNA
Source: RNAcentral